This 245-nucleotide long non-coding RNA is filed under the name Ananas comosus (pineapple). RNAcentral's name for it is "long non-coding RNA (ACOM_LNC022153)". The record is from RNAcentral. Lineage: Eukaryota; Viridiplantae; Streptophyta; Magnoliopsida; Poales; Bromeliaceae.
CUGCGAUUAUGACCUGUCAUAUGCUUAAAUUACCUGAUUUAGCUCUAGAAGCCGUUGUUAUUUUGUAUCGCCGCAAUAUCACCAUGGUGGAUACCCCGGGUAGUUUAGAUCUCUGUUACGCUCGUGCUGGGAUGCCGAGUGUAUUUUUACAGUAGUGUUCAGACUGUUCCGGAUAGUUGGGUGCCGUUAGGAUUGACGGUGGACCCAAUUUGCCGUGUUGGUAUCAGAUUGUGUCGAGAGCACGU